GCCUUGACUCUUGAAGCUAGAGUGGUGGUAGUUAGCAGCAAACGCGUACGGCACACAUUUCACAUUUGACAAUUUUAAAACUUAAUAUUUUACAGCUAUACAUACAGAUCACCCCCAUCUAUAUAUAUGACUAUAAAAAUUGACUCACCCAGCUCGGUCAACGGCAACUCAAAACCCUAGAUUCGCCAGAAUGCUUAGAGGUAAGCAGCCAUCGCCGCCGCCGCCACGCUCCGGUGAACUGAAGCACCAAGACAGGCCACAGCCACCGGAGAAACCAGAUCCCGAUACACCUCCACCGCCGCCCCCACAACGCCCACCGCCUUCCACCGCCGUAUUAGUGCGUCCACCACCACCUCCACCAGCGGGGUAUUAACUACGAGGAUUGUAAAUGUCUUGCAGUGCUAAUUACUGCUGUCAAAUGGUGUUUAAAUUAAAUAUUUCUUCACUGCAAUAUUAUCAUUAUUUAAUUCCGCACAACUCUCAAUAUAUAUUCGGCUAGGAAUCUUUGAUUAAGCUUUAUUAUGUUUGGGUUUGGGCUCAUAAUUAUUGGGCUAAUGCCCACUUGUACUUGAAAUAAAUCAAGAUUGCCUACAUCCUACUCAUAGUAGGCAUAUCUAAUAAUGUGUAAUUUAAAAAAUAAAUAAAAAAUUAAAAUCGAAUUAUGAAUAUUCGU
Erythranthe guttata (spotted monkey flower) is the source of this 673-nucleotide non-coding RNA. The record is from RefSeq and is a predicted model, not a curated record. NCBI's taxonomy places the organism in Eukaryota, Viridiplantae, Streptophyta, Magnoliopsida, Lamiales, Phrymaceae.